Molecule: ribosomal RNA, 253 nt
Filed under: uncultured bacterium
Lineage: Bacteria
Description: partial 16S ribosomal RNA
Rfam family: Bacterial small subunit ribosomal RNA
Source: RNAcentral
CUUUCUUUGCUGGCGACCGGCGCACGGGUGAGUAACACGUAUCCAACCUGCCCUUUACUCGGGGAUAGCCUUUCGAAAGAAAGAUUAAUACCCGAUAGUAUAAUGAUUCCGCAUGGUUUCAUUAUUAAAGGAUCCGGUAAAGGAUGGGGAUGCGUUCCAUUAGGUUGUUGGUGAGGUGACGGCUCACCAAGCCUUCGAUGGAUAGGGGUUCUGAGAGGAAGGUCCCCCACAUUGGAACUGAGACACGGUCCAA